RNAcentral lists this ribosomal RNA (253 nucleotides) under uncultured bacterium. RNAcentral describes it as "partial 16S ribosomal RNA". It matches the Rfam family "Bacterial small subunit ribosomal RNA", at positions 524 to 776 of the family's 1533-position model. The record is from RNAcentral.
UACGAAGGGGGCUAGCGUUGCUCGGAAUCACUGGGCGUAAAGCGCUCGUAGGCGGAUCUUUAAGUCAGGGGUGAAAUCCCGAGGCUCAACCUCGGAACUGCCUUUGAUACUGGGGAUCUCGAGUCCGGGAGAGGUGAGUGGAACUGCGAGUGUAGAGGGGAAAUUCGUAGAUAUUCGCAAGAACACCAGUGGCGAAGGCGGCUCACUGGCCCGGUACUGACGCUGAGGAGCGAAAGCGUGGGGAGCAAACAGG